UCCGCCUCCCUCUGCCACGCCUACCCUGGCCUCCAACCGCCACCCUCACCUCCCGCCCCAUCGCGCCGGCCACUGGAUCGACAUCGGCCGCCGCCCCACAGCCUCCACCCUCGGGUCCCCGAGAGCAGCCAUGGCGCCCCGUCAGAUCUGGCCUCUGCCGCGCCUGUAGCCGCCCCUCCAAGGCCACCGGACUCCGCCGCUCCCCUGGCCGCCAGUGCCCCUACUCCCUUCCACAGGCCGCCGCCGCGUCGGCCUUCCACAGGCCCCCCGCGGCGUUUCCCAUCCCCAGGCCACCACCACGCUGGCCAUCCCAGGCACCCCCAAGCCGCCACAGGAUCCGGUGCCGGGGUGGGAUGCGGUGGUGGCCUCGGGGGGCGAGGAUGGGUGGUGGUGGUUCAAGGCGGGGAGGAGACCCGCACCGUCGUCCCGCCAGGGCCCGCACCUUCGCGGCCCAGCCUUCUCCGUUCCCCUACUUCCCACAGAGACGCCGGAUCUGUGAGCCAGUGGCAUGUCACAUGCCGUCCCGGAGCUCAACCGCCAAGGAUUCGUGAUUUCUUCUGUUGUUGCGCUCUUCCUCGACCCCGAUGAGUGCACUUCCUCAACCUAGAAAGAGUGCUGCACUUCCUCCCCUCGAUGAACUGCAUCUCCACCGGUGUCGCUGGUGAGCAGUUCGCUUGUGUUGUUUCUGCUGAACCUCCCCGACUCACAUCAGUGUUACUCCAAAAGAUGAGGUUCAGUUUCUUGCAUUCUGACGGCCAUGCCGACGUGUGUGUGCGCGGGUGCAGCUUGCAAAAAAGCCCCCAAAAUCAACUCGGUGCUGAGUGUGCGGUUUGAUUUUUUUCCUACAAAAGAUGUGCUCUGGUGAAGUUCAUUGCUGAUGUAUCUCUAGUGCAGUUUUCAGAUAGGUGCUACUGCCUUCUGCACUCCUUCUUUGAUCCACUAUGGAGGCAAAAAACAAGACAGGAAAUAUUCUUGUUUAGAAGACCACUUGUCAAUUUGAUGUGUUCAAGAGCGAGUUGUACAAAUUUGUGUCCUAGAGGGAAAGCAGUUUGUGUGUGUAGUU
Long non-coding RNA from Triticum dicoccoides, 1063 nucleotides. RefSeq lists it as uncharacterized. The record is from RefSeq and is a predicted model, not a curated record. The transcript has 2 exons. Lineage: Eukaryota; Viridiplantae; Streptophyta; Magnoliopsida; Poales; Poaceae.